CGCUUCUCGCUGGAGUGCGCACCGAGCGGCAGUGACUUCGCCGCUGCUGUAGUUCCCCGGCUGGAUGCGGUGACUGGUGCCAGUGCUCAGGCGCCCGCUGCCCUUGACCUCCCGCCCCGCGAGCCCUAACUCAGCGCAGGAGGACCGGCUGCCGCCGCCGCCGCCGCCAGAGCCUUGGCUGCCCAGUUGCCAGUCCUACCACGGUCGGAGGUAACCUUCCUGGCUCCAGUCACAUGGCCAGAUAAGGUGGUGUGUGUGGGCAUGAAUUAUGUGGACCACUGCAAAGAACAGAACGUGCCCGUGCCCAAGGAGCCCAUCAUCUUCAGCAAGUUUGCCAGCUCCAUCGUGGGGCCCUAUGAUGAGGUGGUCCUCCCACCACAGAGCCAGGAGGUAGAUUGGGAAGUGGAGCUGGCCGUGGUCAUUGGAAAGAAAGGCAAGCACAUCAAGGUGAAGUGGAAAAGGUGGGCUCCCAGGCCAGAGUGCAGCAGAGUCCCCAGCUCCUGCCUCUCCUAGUUCUGACCUCGCUCACCAACACAUGGUGCCAGCUGUCCCUGACACUAGGAAGCAGUCAGCCUCCUUGCUCCCUGACACUGCCUUUCCCUUCACCCACCUUUGGCUGGCUCUGGCUACUAACAUGGGAUAACAGCUUUGAGAUCCCUUGCCACAGGUGUUGGUGUCACCCAUGAUCUAUCCUCCUGUAUGGCCAAAUCCCCUGCCCCCAUAGGCCACAGAUGCCAUGGCCCACGUGGCCGGCUUCACUGUGGCUCAUGACGUGAGUGCUCGUGACUGGCUAACAAGAUGCAAUGGGAAACAGUGGCUGCUGGGAAAAACCUUCGACACCUUCUGCCCUCUGGGCCCUGCCUUGGUGACCAAGGACAGUGUAGCAGAUCCACACAACUUAAAGAUCUGCUGUCGAGUGAAUGGGGAAGUGGUCCAGAGCAGCAACACCAACCAGAUGGUAUUCAAGACAGAGGACCUGAUAGCCUGGGUGUCCCAGUUUGUUACCUUUUACCCAGGGGAUGUCAUCCUGACUGGGACCCCCCCACCUCCACCCAGGUGUCGGUGUAUUCAGGAAACCUCCUGUCUUUCUCAAGAAGGGGGAUGAAGUCCAGUGUGAGAUUGAAGAACUAGGUGUCAUCAUCAACAAGGUGGUGUGAUGGCUCCUGCACAGGCCCUGCACAUAGGAUGAGGGCAUCUGCUCCCACUCAGCCUAGCCCAGGGAAAGGCCCAGUGACAGGUGUGGACAGGUGCCAGCCCUGCAAGCCGCCUCUUCUCGGUAGAAGGGAGAAGGACAGAGCUCUCUUCAAUAAAUUCGUCGGGUCAAAGCAGCA
RNAcentral lists this long non-coding RNA (1331 nucleotides) under Homo sapiens (human). RNAcentral describes it as "novel transcript". Lineage: Eukaryota; Metazoa; Chordata; Mammalia; Primates; Hominidae. The record is from RNAcentral.